Molecule: ribosomal RNA, 494 nt
Filed under: uncultured bacterium
Lineage: Bacteria
Description: partial 16S ribosomal RNA
Rfam family: Bacterial small subunit ribosomal RNA
Source: RNAcentral
GACGAACGCUGGCGGCGUGCCUAAUACAUGCAAGUAGAACGCUGAAGGAGGAGCUUGCUUCUCUGGAUGAGUUGCGAACGGGUGAGUAACGCGUAGGUAACCUACCUGGUAGCGGGGGAUAACUAUUGGAAACGAUAGCUAAUACCGCAUAAGAGUAGAUGUCGCAUGACAUUUGCUUAAAAGGUGCAAUUGCAUCACUACCAGAUGGACCUGCGUUGUAUUAGCUAGUUGGUGAGGUAACGGCUCACCAAGGCAACGAUACAUAGCCGACCUGAGAGGGUGAUCGGCCACACUGGGACUGAGACACGGCCCAGACUCCUACGGGAGGCAGCAGUAGGGAAUCUUCGGCAAUGGACGGAAGUCUGACCGAGCAACGCCGCGUGAGUGAAGAAGGUUUUCGGAUCGUAAAGCUCUGUUGUAAGAGAAGAACGAGUGUGAGAGUGGAAAGUUCACACUGUGACGGUAUCUUACCAGAAAGGGACGGCUAACUACGU